Molecule: non-coding RNA, 478 nt
Organism: Ceratotherium simum simum (southern white rhinoceros)
Lineage: Eukaryota; Metazoa; Chordata; Mammalia; Perissodactyla; Rhinocerotidae
Source: RefSeq, a predicted model, not a curated record
UGCUUUUGCUCUCCUGCCCCUCCAGCUGCCACCGAGCUAUGAAGAAGCCUUAAGGUCACUGCCAGCACCACGACUCAACCGUGGCUCUGCUCACCCACCCCAGGAGGCAGCCACCUGCCCUGCUCCGGGAAACCCUACUGUGUAGGGAGGGAACAAGCUCCUCCAUUCUGCCCCUUCCCACUUCUCCAGGGAACUGGCAAGAUGCCCCCACAAAUCUCCCCCAGCUGGGCCUUGGUACAUGAGACCUCAUGAGAAGGAAGCCAAAGUGAACCUCAACAAACCCCGGAUCACCUUUGCCAAGGAUCUGCAGUUGGGAAAUCUGGGGUCAUGCCCUGAGAACACAGUGACAAGUUCAAGGCAGACCUCCAGAACUGGGAGGUUUCUCUGCCCUCAGUCUCUGGAGCUCCUGCCUUCAGGGCAAAGGAGAGUCCUUGGAAGGAAGCCACUAGACUCUACAACCCCCUCUCUGGGGCAGCAG